UAGAACGAAAUUUAUGAAGAAAAAGCAUGAAAUUCCAAAGAAUUCUGGCCACGUGGAAAAGUCUCAAUGCAGCGAAUUAAUAGGUAUUACUUGUUUGUGUGAAUUUGUCGCCUUUAAUAUCGAGAUAAAACGUUUGAGAGCAAACUUAAAGGAUUUCUAAGCAUUUCAAGUCUAUUUGCUUUGAUUUUUCAUGAAAUUUUGUCCAGGAAAUUGCGAUUAAGUUUGCCGACCUUUUGACCGCGUGUUCUUGACUAGGCAGCCGUGUUUGCCUAAAUUUGACCUCCAGGGAUUACAGAAUACUGUUUAGAUUUUCUUAAAUGUUCUGAUUACAUUUCUCAUCGCUUUCAAGCAAAAGCUUUAAGAGUUUAAACACAAAAUUUUGUACAAUACAUGUGUUCAAAAUGUAUUCGUCCAUGAACUCCAAAGGAUAGUAAGCGAAUUUACUUGUCACAAUUAAGUAUACAUAGCUGUCCUGAUUGAGACAUUUGAAAAUAAUAUUUCUCGUUUUUUCAUAAAGAGAAAUUUAGUCAUUCGUUUUAUCUCAGUUGAAGAGUCUCUAUGAAGGCUAUUGAGCCUGAACGCGAACUGUUAGCAAAUAUUUCCAUAGCAAUGGAGUAGGAGGUUUUUAGGUGAAAUAAAACAAAUUUGUGGCGUUACAUUUGUAGAAGAUUUUUUAGAAUUAGAACAUACGAUACUAACCAGUGUUGACAACGCGUCAGUUUCUUCACAAGUAGCCCGAGGCAAAAGAUAUUUUAUGUGUCUGUGGUUUUCACACAAACGUUUAAUUACUCCCGACUUGCCAUCAGAUGCGUAAUCGCUGCGUUUUGUUGGAGCGCUUGCUUUUUCUUACCAAGUUUUCAUUUCCUUAUUUUAGAACGAAUUUGCCACCGCCAAUGAAAGUUGCAAGGAGUUCGGUAAUUUCCCUAAAUGUACGCAAAUACGAAAUAAUUACAAAAAUAUCAAAUGCCUUUUUUAAGGACAAGGAGAUCGAUUAAAACAUGUAGGAUUUCAAUGAAGUAAGGGCAUGGAGAUUAUUUCAUUGUUGUACAUGGUUGACCUUCUGUGUAAAGUCUG
This is a non-coding RNA of Paramuricea clavata, 1074 nucleotides long. The record is from the annotation of a GenBank genome assembly. Lineage: Eukaryota; Metazoa; Cnidaria; Anthozoa; Malacalcyonacea; Plexauridae.